Molecule: ribosomal RNA, 450 nt
Filed under: uncultured bacterium
Lineage: Bacteria
Description: bacterial SSU rRNA
Rfam family: Bacterial small subunit ribosomal RNA
Source: RNAcentral
GUAGGGAAUAUUGGGCAAUGGGCGCAAGCCUGACCCAGCGACGCCGCGUGGGUGAUGAAGGUCUUUGGAUUGUAAAACCCUGUCAGUGGGGAAGAACCGCAUCGGGAGUUACUGCCCGGUGCCUGACGGUACCCACAGAGGAAGCUCCGGCUAACUCCGUGCCAGCAGCCGCGGUAAUACGGGGGGAGCGAGCGUUGUUCGGAUUUACUGGGCGUAAAGGGCGCGUAGGCGGGUCAUCAAGUCAGAUGUGAAACCCGGCGGCUCAACCGUCGGCCUGCAUCUGAAACUGGCGACCUUGAGUACGGGAGAGGAAAGUGGAAUUCCUGGUGUAGCGGUGAAAUGCGUAGAUAUCAGGAGGAACACCGGUGGCGAAGGCGGCUUUCUGGCCCGAUACUGACGCUGAGGCGCGAAGGCCGGGGGAGCAAACAGGAUUAGAAACCCCAGUAGUCC